RNAcentral lists this long non-coding RNA (1248 nucleotides) under Homo sapiens (human). RNAcentral's name for it is "non-protein coding lnc-ZNF33B-4:8". The record is from RNAcentral. Lineage: Eukaryota; Metazoa; Chordata; Mammalia; Primates; Hominidae.
CUCCGGUACAGCCUGGUAGGGAGGGCUCCCGGCAUCUCCCUGCUUCGGGGCAGAGGAUGCCGGGGGUAGAGUACGGGAGGGCUGGAGCGAGGGUGGACUGGAGGUGCCGCUUGUCCUGGAGGUGGGAGAGAGGGAGCGGCUUUGCCGCCUGGCCUGCGUCCUAAUCCUGUCCUGGUUCUUCUGCUCCCGAAGGGAACGUAGGUCCCGCGCCUGUGAUAAAAUCUCGCUGUCUCCUUCCAACCACCUGUGGUCGGCAUCCCCGCGUUGUCACUGCGACGCAGAGGCGAGCGAGGUGGCGGGAAGCACCCGCGGGGCGGGGAGGGACCCUGCGGGCGCGGACUCCACACCAAGCCUCUGCUCAGCGUCACCCCGCUUGCUGUGUCCUCGCAGGUCGCAGCUUCAUGGCCUGAUGCCUUCAGGAAGUAUUUUGAAGUCAUCGUGGCUGUGGAUUGGGGGAUUUCUUGUUUCCACUGACCUGUGAGGCCGCGCACGUGGAGGGAGGCACCCCGGGUCCUCCGGCACUGUCCGGCCUCGCCUGUGUCCCUAGUAGCAGUGGGCAUUUCCAGACGGUGCAGCUUGUGGCUAAAGUGACAGGAAGAUGUAGGAGCUUUCAGUCUUGGAUGAGGAUUCGAACUGAAGGGCUUAGGCCCAGCUGUCUUGGAGCAAAACAUCUGUUGUGGGAUGUGGCGGCAGAGGAGGGCAAGGCCGAAGGAGCAGACAGCACCGCUUCUUGGGGAGUUGUGAAGGCAUCAUGCGGAGGGCCGAGCUUAGCAGCCAAGUGGAGGACAGCACCCUCCAUGCCUGGAUUCGUUACUCGCUCGUUCUCGAUGUUGAGCUGCUGGCAUAUUGCAGCACAACUAGAGAUGUACGGAUGCCCCCAUCUUGAUCUUACAGAAUCAGAGGUGCAGCCGCAAGAAAGCUACACCCUCUCGGUUUUCUCUGCUCUGCCAACACUAGUGGAAUAUGAUCACAUCCCAGGGAUCAGUGUCAUUUAGGGAUGUGACUAUGGGCUUCACUCAAGAGGAGUGGCAUCAUCUGGACCCUGCUCAGAGGACCCUGUAGAGGAAUGUGAUGCUGGAGAACUACAGCCACCUUGUCUCAGUAGGGUAUUGCAUCAUUCACAGGGUAUUGCAUUCCUAAACCAGAAGUGAUCCUCAAAUUGGAGACAGGCAAGGAGCCAUGGAUAUUAGAGGAAAAAUUUCGAAGCCAGAGUCAUCUGGGUGAGUUAGUGCCAGAUGGAAUUUAAAG